GGAUGUGAGGGUGAUCUGGUUGCGACAUCUGUCACCCCAUUGAUCGCCAGAGUUGAUUCGGCUGAUCUGGCUGGCUAGACAGGUGUCCCCUUCCUCCCUCACCACUCCAUGUGCAUCCCUCCCGAAGCUGCAUGCUUGGUUGAAGAGGACAACCAUCCUGGAUAGAGGAGGACCAGUCUUUGGUCAAGGGUGUACGAGUAGCUGUGCUCCCCUGCUAGAACCUCCAAACAAGCGCUCAAGGUCCACUCCAGCAUUCUUGUGUAAAGAAUCCUUUGCACAGAGAAGCCUU
Molecule: unclassified non-coding RNA, 289 nt
Organism: Bison bison bison
Lineage: Eukaryota; Metazoa; Chordata; Mammalia; Artiodactyla; Bovidae
Gene: 7SK
Rfam family: 7SK RNA
About the family: 7SK was discovered as an abundant small nuclear RNA in the mid-70s but a possible function has only recently been suggested. Two independent studies have found that 7SK RNA binds the CDK9/cyclin T complex (known as elongation factor P-TEFb).
Source: Ensembl